GCCACGGUGGUCUAGCGGUUAGAACGCUGGCCUUGUAAUCCUGGAAGUCUCGGGUUCGAUUCCCGGCGGUGCCC
RNAcentral lists this transfer RNA (74 nucleotides) under Zootermopsis nevadensis. It matches the Rfam family "tRNA". Rfam says of the family: Transfer RNA (tRNA) molecules are approximately 80 nucleotides in length. Their secondary structure includes four short double-helical elements and three loops (D, anti-codon, and T loops). The record is from Rfam by way of RNAcentral. Lineage: Eukaryota; Metazoa; Arthropoda; Insecta; Blattodea; Termopsidae.